Non-coding RNA from Ciona savignyi (Pacific transparent sea squirt), 45 nucleotides. The record is from Rfam. Lineage: Eukaryota; Metazoa; Chordata; Ascidiacea; Phlebobranchia; Cionidae.
CAAACGGCUCUUUUUAGAGCCACCCAUUUUUUUAUCAAAGAGAUA